Mytilus californianus (California mussel) is the source of this 529-nucleotide long non-coding RNA. RefSeq lists it as uncharacterized. The record is from RefSeq and is a predicted model, not a curated record. Lineage: Eukaryota; Metazoa; Mollusca; Bivalvia; Mytilida; Mytilidae. The transcript is spliced from 2 exons.
AGUAGUGUUCUAAGGGACCAUCUAUUUAAAAAAAAUCUUAUCGAAAACGCACUGUGUUCCUGUGGUCGUGUAGAAACUACCUCUCAUUACUUCCUCAAAUAUCCAAAAUAUAAUGAAAUUCGAAGGGAUACUAUCGGGACGGUCUCUUGUUUUAAUCUUAAGAUUAUCUUAUAUGGGGACAGUUUAAAGUCUGACGAGGACAAUAUGCAAAUAUUUCAUAAAGUUUCUGAAUACAUAAAUAAAACAAAACGUUUUGAAAGUUGAUCUUGUAUAUAUAUAUAUAUAAAAAAAAACGAUGUAAAAUCGAGUGGAUUGUCCGUCGUAAAUGACUAUAGUCGGACAUGUGUGUUGGUUUCAGUGACUAUCUAUCAAGAAAGUAAAGUAGAGUCGACUGUUUCAUUUUUUUUUCAUUUUUUUGUUUUGUUUCACAUUUUCUUUCUUUUAAUUUCUUUUAUUUGUUAGUUGUAUUUUUUUUAUUUUUUUUUUAUUUUUUUUUUUUUUUUUUUUUUUUUUAUUUUUUUUUUUAAAA